Molecule: ribosomal RNA, 1998 nt
Filed under: Listeria monocytogenes
Lineage: Bacteria; Bacillati; Bacillota; Bacilli; Caryophanales; Listeriaceae
Description: partial 23S ribosomal RNA
Rfam family: Bacterial large subunit ribosomal RNA
Source: RNAcentral
CUCGGGUUACCGAAUUCAGAUAAACUCCGAAUGCCAUGUACUUAUACUCGGGAGUCAGACUGCGAGUGAUAAGAUCCGUAGUCGAAAGGGAAACAGCCCAGACCACCAGUUAAGGUCCCCAAAUAUAUGUUAAGUGGAAAAGGAUGUGGGGUUGCUUAGACAACCAGGAUGUUGGCUUAGAAGCAGCCACCAUUGAAAGAGUGCGUAAUAGCUCACUGGUCGAGUGACCCCGCGCCGAAAAUGUACCGGGGCUAAACAUAUUACCGAAACUGUGGAUGAACCUCUUUAGAGGUUCGUGGUAGGAGAGCGUUCUAAGGGCGGUGAAGUCAGACCGGAAGGACUGGUGGAGCGCUUAGAAGUGAGAAUGCCGGUAUGAGUAGCGAAAGAAGGGUGAGAAUCCCUUCCACCGAAUAUCUAAGGUUUCCUGAGGAAGGCUCGUCCGCUCAGGGUUAGUCGGGACCUAAGCCGAGGCCGAUAGGCGUAGGCGAUGGACAACAGGUAGAGAUUCCUGUACCAGUGCUAAUUGUUUAACCGAUGGGGUGACACAGAAGGAUAGGGAAUCGCACGAAUGGAAAUGUGCGUCCAAGCAGUGAGUGUGAGAAGUAGGCAAAUCCGCUUCUCGCGAAGCAUGAGCUGUGAUGGGGAAGGAAAUUAAGUACGGAAGUUCCUGAUUUCACGCUGUCAAGAAAAGCCUCUAGGAAGAGUAGUACUGCCCGUACCGCAAACCGACACAGGUAGAUGAGGAGAGAAUCCUAAGGUGAGCGAGAGAACUCUCGUUAAGGAACUCGGCAAAAUGACCCCGUAACUUCGGGAGAAGGGGUGCUCUAUUAGGGUGCAAGCCCGAGAGAGCCGCAGUGAAUAGGCCCAGGCGACUGUUUAGCAAAAACACAGGUCUCUGCAAAACCGUAAGGUGACGUAUAGGGGCUGACGCCUGCCCGGUGCUGGAAGGUUAAGAGGAGUGCUUAGCUUCGGCGAAGGUACGAAUUGAAGCCCCAGUAAACGGCGGCCGUAACUAUAACGGUCCUAAGGUAGCGAAAUUCCUUGUCGGGUAAGUUCCGACCCGCACGAAAGGCGCAACGAUCUGGGCACUGUCUCAACGAGAGACUCGGUGAAAUUAUAGUACCUGUGAAGAUGCAGGUUACCCGCGACAGGACGGAAAGACCCCGUGGAGCUUUACUGCAACCUGAUAUGGAAUGUUUGUACCGCUUGUACAGGAUAGGUAGGAGCCGAAGAGACGUGUGCGCUAGCAUACGAGGAGGCAAUGGUGGGAUACUACCCUGGCUGUAUGACCAUUCUAACCCGCCACGCUUAGCGCGUGGGGAGACAGUGUCAGGUGGGCAGUUUGACUGGGGCGGUCGCCUCCUAAAGAGUAACGGAGGCGCCCAAAGGUUCCCUCAGAAUGGAUGGAAAUCAUUCGCAGAGUGUAAAGGCACAAGGGAGCUUGACUGCGAGACUGACAAGUCGAGCAGGGACGAAAGUCGGGCUUAGUGAUCCGGUGGUUCCGCAUGGAAGGGCCAUCGCUCAACGGAUAAAAGCUACCCCGGGGAUAACAGGCUUAUCUCCCCCAAGAGUCCACAUCGACGGGGAGGUUUGGCACCUCGAUGUCGGCUCGUCGCAUCCUGGGGCUGUAGUCGGUCCCAAGGGUUGGGCUGUUCGCCCAUUAAAGCGGCACGCGAGCUGGGUUCAGAACGUCGUGAGACAGUUCGGUCCCUAUCCGUCGCGGGCGCAGGAAAUUUGAGAGGAGCUGUCCUUAGUACGAGAGGACCGGGAUGGACACACCGCUGGUGUACCAGUUGUUCCGCCAGGAGCAUCGCUGGGUAGCUAUGUGUGGCAGGGAUAAACGCUGAAAGCAUCUAAGCGUGAAGCCCCCCUCAAGAUGAGAUUUCCCAUUUCUUCGGAAAGUAAGAUCCCUGAAAGAUGAUCAGGUAGAUAGGUUUGGAGUGGAAGUGUAGCGAUACAUGGAGCGGACAAAUACUAAUCGAUCGAGGACUUAACCAA